UUCUGGAAGAGAGGCUGCAGGAACAUGCCCAUCGUGCCAAAGACACAGACAAACACAAAGAUCCACAGGAAGAGGCGGUCGAUCACCAUGGCGACGUACUUCCAGUCCUCGCUGACCUGUGGAGGGGGAUUAAAGGGGACGACAAUGGUCUACAACGUAUUACUUACCACCGACAUGUGAGCAGACUCUGAUGGACACAACAUGCGUGAAGUAGGAAGGUACGCUGUUCAUUACAACACUACCAUCCAAAUCCUUCACUCAUGGAGCUGACUGACGUCCACAUGCCAUCAUGUAACAUAAAUGGAACAGUUUAAUAAAUCCUGUUAUUUAUUUUUACAUGCUGUGUCUCAUUUUAUUCAGUCAUGUCAAAUAAUUGGGGUCUUGUCCGGGACGUCUGCAUAAUUCUCUCACCUGCUAUCACUCUUACUCUUUAACUCAGUAUUAUCACGCUGUCUU
This is a long non-coding RNA of Nothobranchius furzeri (turquoise killifish), 456 nucleotides long. RefSeq lists it as uncharacterized. Lineage: Eukaryota; Metazoa; Chordata; Actinopteri; Cyprinodontiformes; Nothobranchiidae. The record is from RefSeq and is a predicted model, not a curated record.